UUUGACGUCGUCGGCUACGAGACGAACGCUGGCGGCGUGCCUAAUACAUGCAAGUCGAGCGAAUCUGAGGGAGCUUGCUCCCGAAGAUUGCGGCGGACGGGUGAGUAACACGUGGGUAACCUGCCUGUAAGAUCGGGAUAACUCCGGGAAACCGGAGCUAAUACCGGAUAACAUCUCGAACCACAUGGUUCGAGAUUGAAAGAUGGUUUCGGCUAUCACUUACAGAUGGACCCGCGGCGCAUUAGCUAGUUGGUGAGGUAACGGCUCACCAAGGCAACGAUGCGUAGCCGACCUGAGAGGGUGAUCGGCCACACUGGGACUGAGACACGGCCCAGACUCCUACGGGAGGCAGCAGUAGGGAAUCUUCCGCAAUGGACGAAAGUCUGACGGAGCAACGCCGCGUGAGCGAAGAAGGCCUUCGGGUCGUAAAGCUCUGUUGUUAGGGAAGAACAAGUACGAGAGUAACUGCUCGUACCUUGACGGUACCUAACCAGAAAGCCACGGCUAACUACGUG
Molecule: ribosomal RNA, 515 nt
Filed under: uncultured Bacillaceae bacterium
Lineage: Bacteria; Bacillati; Bacillota; Bacilli; Caryophanales; Bacillaceae
Description: bacterial SSU rRNA
Rfam family: Bacterial small subunit ribosomal RNA
Source: RNAcentral